GUAGUUAGCCGGGGCUUCCUCCUUGGGUACCGUCACUUUCUUCGUCCCCAAGGACAGAGGUUUACAAUCCGAAAACCUUCUUCCCUCACGCGGCGUUGCUGGGUCAGAGUUGCCUCCAUUGCCCAAUAUUCCCCACUGCUGCCUCCCGUAGGAGUCUGGACCGUAUCUCAGUUCCAGUGUGGCCGAUCACCCUCUCAGGUCGGCUACCCAUCGUUGGCUUGGUGGGCCGUUACCUCACCAACUACCUAAUGGGACGCGAGCCCCUCUACAAGCGAUAAAUCUUUUACCCCUGUGCCAUGCAGCACUGUGGUCUCAUGCGGUAUUAGCAGCCGUUUCCAGCUGUUGUCCCCCUCUUGUAGGCAGGUCGCUCACGCGUUACUCACCCGUCCGCCACUAACACUUCUCAGGUGCAAGCACCCGAUGAUGUCCGUUCGACUUGCAUGUGUUAAGCCACGCCGCACGCGUCGUCUCGACGACACUAACUACAACUACUAGACGUAGAGGCGGCGNGGACGACGGACGCA
RNAcentral lists this ribosomal RNA (524 nucleotides) under uncultured bacterium. RNAcentral describes it as "partial 16S ribosomal RNA". The record is from RNAcentral.